RNAcentral lists this ribosomal RNA (609 nucleotides) under Escherichia coli. RNAcentral describes it as "partial 23S ribosomal RNA". It matches the Rfam family "Bacterial large subunit ribosomal RNA", at positions 1 to 644 of the family's 2925-position model. The record is from RNAcentral. Lineage: Bacteria; Pseudomonadati; Pseudomonadota; Gammaproteobacteria; Enterobacterales; Enterobacteriaceae.
UUGUGAGGUUAAGCGACUAAGCGUACACGGUGGAUGCCCUGGCAGUCAGAGGCGAUGAAGGACGUGCUAAUCUGCGAUAAGCGUCGGUGAGGUGAUAUGAACCGUUAUAACCGGCGAUUUCCGAAUGGGGAAACCCAGUGUGUUUCGACACACUAUCAUUAACUGAAUCCAUAGGUUAAUGAGGCGAACCGGGGGAACUGAAACAUCUAAGUACCCCGAGGAAAAGAAAUCAACCGAGAUUCCCCCAGUAGCGGCGAGCGAACGGGGAGGAGCCCAGAGCCUGAAUCAGUGUGUGUGUUAGUGGAAGCGUCUGGAAAGGCGCGCGAUACAGGGUGACAGCCCCGUACACAAAAAUGCACAUAUUGUGAGCUCGAUGAGUAGGGCGGGACACGUGGUAUCCUGUCUGAAUAUGGGGGGACCAUCCUCCAAGGCUAAAUACUCCUGACUGACCGAUAGUGAACCAGUACCGUGAGGGAAAGGCGAAAAGAACCCCGGCGAGGGGAGUGAAAAAGAACCUGAAACCGUGUACGUACAAGCAGUGGGAGCCUCUUAAUGGGGUGACUGCGUACCUUUUGUAUAAUGGGUCAGCGACUUAUAUUCUGUAGCAAG